UACGUAGGGAGCGAGCGUUGUCCGGAAUUACUGGGCGUAAAGAGUGCGUAGGCGGCACAUCAAGUCAGGUGUGAAAUAUCACGGCUCAACCGUGAGGGUGCAUUUGAAACUGGUGAGCUUGAGUAUGGGAGAGGGAAGCGGAAUUCCUGGUGUAGCGGUGGAAUGCAUAGAGAUCAGGAGGAAGACCGGUGGCGAAGGCGGCUUUCUGGACCAAAACUGACGCUGAGGCACGAAAGCGUGGGGAGCAAACAGGAUUAGAUACCCUGGUAGUCCACACUGUAAACGAUGGAUACUAGGUGUGGGAGGUAUCGACCCCUUCCGUGCCGAAGUUAACGCAAUAAGUAUCCCGCCUGGGGAGUACGGCCGCAAGGUUGAA
Molecule: ribosomal RNA, 376 nt
Filed under: uncultured bacterium
Lineage: Bacteria
Description: bacterial SSU rRNA
Rfam family: Bacterial small subunit ribosomal RNA
Source: RNAcentral